GACGAACGCUGGCGGCGUGCUUAACACAUGCAAGUCGAACGGAAAGGCCCCUUUGGGGGUCCUCGAGUGGCGAACGGGUGAGUAACACGUGAGUAACCUGCCCUUGACUUCGGGAUAACUUCAGGAAACUGGGGCUAAUACCGGAUAGGAAUCCUUGCUGCAUGGUGGGGGUUGGAAAGCUUCGGCGGUUUUGGAUGGACUCGCGGCUUAUCAGCUUGUUGGUGGGGUAGUGGCUUACCAAGGCUUUGACGGGUAGCCGGCGUGAGAGGGCGACCGGCCACAUUGGGACUGAGAUACGGCCCAGACUCCUACGGGAGGCAGCAGUGGGGAAUAUUGCACAAUGGGCGGAAGCCUGAUGCAGCAACGCCGCGUGCGGGAUGACGGCCUUCGGGUUGUAAACCGCUUUCAGCAGGGGCGAAGCUUGUGGUGACGGUACCUGCAGAAGAAGCACCGGCUAACUACGUG
RNAcentral lists this ribosomal RNA (465 nucleotides) under uncultured bacterium. Its description in RNAcentral is "partial 16S ribosomal RNA". It matches the Rfam family "Bacterial small subunit ribosomal RNA", at positions 28 to 507 of the family's 1533-position model. The record is from RNAcentral.